CCGUAUAUAAGCGGAACACCAAUGUAAAAGCUAAAAGACGGACACCACCUAGUACACACUCCACAGUCACCAGACCACCUAGAGCACACACCACAAUCACCAGACCACCAAAGAGGAUCAUCAACCGACCCAAAAAGAUGCCCUAAGACUCUAACUCCCGAUCUCGAAUCAAAAGUGAUCGGCUCAUCAGAAUACAAAAAGCAGCUUUGUGAGGCAAAAAUUAAUG
Molecule: long non-coding RNA, 226 nt
Filed under: Trifolium pratense (red clover)
Lineage: Eukaryota; Viridiplantae; Streptophyta; Magnoliopsida; Fabales; Fabaceae
Description: long non-coding RNA (TPRA_LNC003796)
Source: RNAcentral